This 440-nucleotide ribosomal RNA is filed under the name uncultured bacterium. RNAcentral describes it as "partial 16S ribosomal RNA". It matches the Rfam family "Bacterial small subunit ribosomal RNA", at positions 338 to 795 of the family's 1533-position model. The record is from RNAcentral.
CCUACGGGUGGCAGCAGUAGGGAAUAUUGCUCAAUGGGGGAAACCCUGAAGCAGCAACGCCGCGUGGAGGAUGAAGGCUCUAGGAUUGUUAACCCCUUUUGUUAGAGAAGAUUAUGCCGGUAUCUAAAGAAUAAGCACAGGCUAACUCCGUGACAGCAGCCGCGGCAAUACGGAGGGUGCAAGCGUUACUCGGAAUCACUGGGCGUAAAGAGUGCGUAGGCGGGGUAAUAAGUCAGAUGUGAAAUCCUGUAGCUUAACUACAGAACUGCAUUUGAAACUGUUAGUCUAGAGUGUGGGAGAGGUAGGUGGAAUGCUUGGUGUAGGGGUGAAAUCCUUAGAGAUCAAGAAGAAUACUCAUUGCGAAGGCGGCCUGCUGGAACAUUACUGACGCUGAGGCACGAAAGCGUGGGGAGCAAACAGGAUUAGAUACCCCUGUAGUC